CCUACGGGGGGCUGCAGUGGGGAAUAUUGGACAAUGGGCGAAAGCCUGAUCCAGCCAUGCCGCGUGUGUGAAGAAGGCCUUCGGGUUGUAAAGCACUUUCAGUGGGGAAGAAAGCCUUGGGGCUAAUACCCUCGAGGAAGGACAUCACCCACAGAAGAAGCACCGGCUAACUCCGUGCCAGCAGCCGCGGUAAUACGGAGGGUGCGAGCGUUAAUCGGAAUUACUGGGCGUAAAGCGCGCGUAGGCGGUCUGAUAAGCCGGUUGUGAAAGCCCCGGGCUCAACCUGGGAACGGCAUCCGGAACUGUCAGGCUAGAGUGCAGGAGAGGAAGGUAGAAUUCCCGGUGUAGCGGUGAAUGCGUAGAGAUCGGGAGGAAUACCAGUGGCGAAGGCGGCCUUCUGGACUGACACUGACGCUGAGGUGCGAAAGCGUGGGUAGCAAACAGGAUUAGAUACCCUGGUAGUC
RNAcentral lists this ribosomal RNA (464 nucleotides) under Vreelandella stevensii. Its description in RNAcentral is "partial 16S ribosomal RNA". It matches the Rfam family "Bacterial small subunit ribosomal RNA", at positions 338 to 795 of the family's 1533-position model. Lineage: Bacteria; Pseudomonadati; Pseudomonadota; Gammaproteobacteria; Oceanospirillales; Halomonadaceae. The record is from RNAcentral.